AGCAUGCAAGAAUCAAAUAGGCACAUGGCAUGUCUACCUCUUUUUCCCAGUUUGGUGACAGGAGCUUAUUCAUUCAGUAACAGGAAAGUUAUGGCUGAGCAUGGUUUGUUCGUUUUGGCUCUUUUGGGUACCUUCGUCCCAUGCAAGGCCUUGAAAAAUGUCGUGAUUGAAGGAACAACCAUGCGACCUAAUUUUAUUCGGAAGAAGGUCAGCGUAAGUGUUAGAACCCUUCCACAAAAUACGAGCCUUCGUCGCCAUUUACCGUUUGUCCGUUUCAGUUGGAUCCCUUGCCCAUCAGAAUACCCCUGGAGCUUCGAAUUGGGUCCAAAUGCUGCUCCCACUAUCAAACUGUAUCUUGGAGCAGGGUGCUAGAAUUUUACGAUCCAUUCUCGGAAUGCGUGGCAGAUUGGAUCCCAUGUCCAUAUCAAGAUCGCAAAUGCAUUGCAAAUAUUGAGCCAGCGUAUUGCCCACCUUCGCACCCUCAAGCAGUCGAGCAAGGAUGCUGUGCCACCAGCCAAGGAUCAUCUUCUCUCGAGUGUUUAGGAUCACUUAACGAAAAAAGCCCUAUGUCAUGUUGUCAACCCGAGGAUUUCAUUUUUAUUAAGGAUUGCUAUGAAAAGCGACGCCCUUGUCUUUCAAGCAAAGCCUCACCUUACCCACAACCGAUUAUUCUUUACGAAGAGACAAGAGGGACUCAUUUCGCGGAACGGGCCUUGCAGUAUUCUACUUGCGAUAUAUUCUUAGGCAUAAGAAAGCGAUGGGAUGGAGGGACUACCUCCAAACCUCAUUUCAUAUUUGAUUUUACCGAGUUGAGACACUUCCGUAAAGUCAUUUUGCGCAAUGGUCACGGAGAACGAUUUCAUGACCGGGGAACAAGGACGUUUGUUUUAUCGGUUUCGAACACGUCGGAGCCAUUCCUCUGGGUUGACAUCUUAUCCGACACUUUGCCCAAAGUUGAGUAUGGAACCACGUGUGAAGCUCCAUUGGUCAAUUUCACUUUACCCGGAGACGGUAUAUCGACUCGGUAUGGGAGAUUCAUGGUUACAUCAGAUUAUAGAUAUGGUGCAAGUCUGAACUACUUGGGGUUCGAAUGACCUGGGGAAUGCAAGAGAGGGAGCUUGCCACCAGGUGUGGAGGUUGUCACAGUUUCCUGGUAUGAGAGCGGUACGUGAAUUUCUAACCUCUCGCAAGGAAAUCCACAACCACAGACGAAUAGCCAAUCCAAUGAAGGACUAUGACAUUGCCUAUCGGAAUUGUAUGCACGGAUGGAGUACCAGCUGACUUCUCUGACGGGGCCAGGUUCCAUCUUGCGACAAACGCAACCCAAUUAGAAAUAAAGCCGUGGAGUUACUGCUGCUAUCAUGAGAUGGAAUUACUAGUCUUGACUUUUAUUGACAAUGAGAGAAGAAAAAUGUUUGAAAAAAAAAAUCAGUUGAUGUGAAUGUGUUUGUAAGUGUUUGCAAUAGUAAUCAAAGCAGUCUUGGGAGUCUGUUUAUCAUUAGUCCUUCAAUAAAUGUUCACAAGUUCAG
Tigriopus californicus is the source of this 1529-nucleotide long non-coding RNA. RefSeq lists it as uncharacterized. The record is from RefSeq and is a predicted model, not a curated record. NCBI's taxonomy places the organism in Eukaryota, Metazoa, Arthropoda, Copepoda, Harpacticoida, Harpacticidae. The transcript has 4 exons.